GUGCCAGCAGCCGCGGUAAUACGGAGGGUGCGAGCGUUAAUCGGAAUUACUGGGCGUAAAGGGCGCGUAGGCGGUCGCGCAAGUCGGGUGUGAAAGCCCCGGGCUCAACCUGGGAAUUGCAUUCGAUACUGCGUAACUAGAGUCUGGUAGAGGGAAGCGGAAUUCCGCAUGUAGCGGUGAAAUGCGUAGAUAUGCGGAGGAACACCAGUGGCGAAGGCGGCUUCCUGGACCAAGACUGACGCUGAGGCGCGAAAGCGUGGGGAGCAAACAGGAUUAGAUACCCUGGUAGUCCACGCCCUAAACGAUGAGGACUAGACGUUGGGGGAGUAAAACCCUUUAGUGUCGCAGCUAACGCGUGAAGUCCUCCGCCUGGGGAGUACGGCCGCAAGGUUGAAACUCAAAUGAAUUGGCGG
Molecule: ribosomal RNA, 413 nt
Filed under: uncultured bacterium
Lineage: Bacteria
Description: bacterial SSU rRNA
Rfam family: Bacterial small subunit ribosomal RNA
Source: RNAcentral